Molecule: long non-coding RNA, 825 nt
Organism: Symphalangus syndactylus (siamang)
Lineage: Eukaryota; Metazoa; Chordata; Mammalia; Primates; Hylobatidae
Source: RefSeq, a predicted model, not a curated record
GAAACAGUAGAAAAACUUAACAGCACCGGGCCAAGAGAAAGAAGUGCCCAGCGUGCUUCGGGGAGGUUUAGGAGGCAGUGUAGAAGUCCUUUUAGAAGGCUUGGAGUCUGAAUUCAAGUUGUUGGUCAGGCCAUGCUUGCUCUGAAGGCCUCAGGGGAGGAUCCUUCCUCACCUCUUCUCAAAAGGUGGCUCCGGGUGUUCCUUGGCAUUCCUUGAUCUGCAGCUGUAUCACUCCAAGGCCAAGGCACUUGGCCCCUUAAAGCCUUACAUGAGAGCUUUCAAAAUUAAGAUCUGACAUCCUACUGAAGUAAAAAGGCUUCUAUUUCAUCUUGAGGUUACAGAGAGAACGGGAGCUUGGAUCCUGGUAAAACAGAUGACACUGGUUUCGGUAUGAAGAAUGGAACAGAGAAGAGUGGGAUUGGACGGGUUUCCUGAUGCUAUCCGCACAGAAGACUGAUUUCUUCCCACUUCCGCUCAUCACAUUGGCUGAACCCAGCAGAUCCCUGCCCGGUUAUCCGUCCUACAGAGGGAAACGAUCGUCAUAGCAACAAAGAAAACACAGCCCAUUAUCUUACCUGUGUCAAUAGAAAACAAAGACACAGGUCACAUUACACAAUUUUCUGCUCAUGGAGUGUACCUUUUCACAUUGAUUGACCCGGUACAAUGUGGCCAUUUUCCAAAACGUCAAGGGCCAUUGUCUUAGCUGUGCAAGGCCCUGGCAAAGCUUCUUGUUCUUGUGAGCAGUGCGUGAAGCCUCUUUCUAAUUAUAGCCUUUCUGAAUUCCUUGUCCUUUCCUUUAAAUAAAGUGUCUAGCCAUAUGUUCAA